CAAAACCCAAAAACUGCCCCCUCUCUCCCUUUUUUUCUUCUUUGAUUUAUAUAUUUUUAAACAUCUUUUUCUUUUCCUUCACCUGUUUUCGAAUAUAUUCUUAAGACAUUGCAAAAUUGGUUUCCUCUAUCCAAAAAUAAUACUAUGAUCUAUUGCUAUUCAUCAUUUAGAUUUGGUGCACUGAGUCACUGACUGAAAUGGCCUGUAAUGUUCCA
Molecule: unclassified non-coding RNA, 215 nt
Filed under: Hevea brasiliensis (rubber tree)
Lineage: Eukaryota; Viridiplantae; Streptophyta; Magnoliopsida; Malpighiales; Euphorbiaceae
Source: RNAcentral